UACGGGGGGGGCAAGCGUUGUUCGGAAUUACUGGGCGUAAAGGGCUCGUAGGCGGCCAACUAAGUCAGACGUGAAGUCCCCAGGCUCAACCUGGGAACUGCGUCUGAUACUGGAUGGCUUGAAUCCGGGAGAGGGAUGCAGAAUUCCAGGUGUAGCGGUGAAAUGCGUAGAUAUCUGGAGGAAUACCGGUGGCGAAGGCGGCAUCCUGGACCGGCAUUGACGCUGAGGAGCGAAGGCCAGGGGAGCAAACGGG
Molecule: ribosomal RNA, 253 nt
Filed under: uncultured bacterium
Lineage: Bacteria
Description: partial 16S ribosomal RNA
Rfam family: Bacterial small subunit ribosomal RNA
Source: RNAcentral